RNAcentral lists this ribosomal RNA (119 nucleotides) under Pteropus alecto (black flying fox). Lineage: Eukaryota; Metazoa; Chordata; Mammalia; Chiroptera; Pteropodidae. The record is from RNAcentral.
CUGUACAGCCAUGCCACCCUAAAUGUGCCAGAUUUCGUCUGAUCUCGGAAGCUAAGCAGGGUCGGGCCUGGUUAGUACUUGGAUGGGAGACCACCUAGGAAUACCAAGUGCUGUAGGCG